RNAcentral lists this ribosomal RNA (195 nucleotides) under Rossellomorea marisflavi. Its description in RNAcentral is "Bacillus marisflavi partial 16S ribosomal RNA". It matches the Rfam family "Bacterial small subunit ribosomal RNA", at positions 1 to 192 of the family's 1533-position model. The record is from RNAcentral. Lineage: Bacteria; Bacillati; Bacillota; Bacilli; Caryophanales; Bacillaceae.
UUUAUGGAGAGUUUGAUCCUGGCUCAGGACGAACGCUGGCGGCGUGCCUAAUACAUGCAAGUCGAGCGGAUCGAUGGGAGCUUGCUCCCUGAGGUCAGCGGCGGACGGGUGAGUAACACGUGGGUAACCUGCCUGUAAGACUGGGAUAACUCCGGGAAACCGGGGCUAAUACCGGAUAACACCUACCCCCGCAUG